Hipposideros armiger (great roundleaf bat) is the source of this 5664-nucleotide long non-coding RNA. RefSeq lists it as uncharacterized. The record is from RefSeq and is a predicted model, not a curated record. The transcript has 5 exons. NCBI's taxonomy places the organism in Eukaryota, Metazoa, Chordata, Mammalia, Chiroptera, Hipposideridae.
CUCGAACCGCUGUUGCUCAGAGCUUGCACUCUUGAGCGAGCUCUUAACCAGCUGAGCCACUCGGCCGGCCCCUGAAAAAUCUUAAGUUAAUGAACCUGACCCCUUUAGAAAGGCCCUCCUCUCCAUUGCUUGUAAGCACUGGACUCCCUGUCAGUCAUUCGACUGGUGUCCUUACCACACAGCCUUGGGCUACACCAACUCCCAACCCUGGGCACUGGCUUCACCCAUUCUCUCUGCUUCAACACGACGCAGCAUUACUAAAAGUCAUGAAUAACCUGGUAUACUACGACUUCAUUUAUCUUCCUAUGACACCACUGGCUUACUCAAAAAUCUCUAAGGGCCUCCUCCUCCCACUAACUCACAAGGCAAAAAACUAUGAGUUUAUGUGUAAAAAUAGAUCCACUGCCAAAAAUAGCACAGGGACUAUUUUGGAAAACUUAAAAUUCUUCAUCCAGCCUCAAACAUUGAGCAAACAAAAAUGCCACCCCUGAGCUGCCAGACAACAGUGGAGGUUGUUACUUCUCCCAAAUAGCAUUCCCAUCCUUCACAGCUAUACCACACAUGCUACCACCCUAUCUUUUAUAGUUGCCCACACCCACACAUGACCAACAAACUUGCUUUUGAUAAUCAGAGAUUAUAGCAGAAGAAAACGAUUCUCAUGAACAAUUAGGUAAACAUAACCACAUCAUAAAAUCUUUAAGCUUCUUUGGCAAAACCCUAUACAUGUUUUAAGGGGGGGAAAAAAAGUGAGUUAGAGGGGUGAAUGCUUUUUUGGCUGCCUCUUUCCCAAGUCAAAGCCCUGAAAGUGAGGAUUCUGCCUGGUCCCAAACUGGCAAAGCACCCAGUAUCAGUCACCACUUGCCCAGGCCUGGAAAGACCACGCCCUGUCCCCAGCAGGGUGAGGCUGCAGUUCUCUAAGGCCACCAGAGAGGCUCGACUGCAAGGUCAGAGCAGAUAAGUUCAGGUAAUUAAUAUCCAUUUUAAGCUUAAUAUUGAUCAAAACAGCUACCUCUGUAUCAUUAAGAGACUGCCUGUGUCUUGCUCUUGACAUAACUGAACAUUUUCAUAGGCACUGGCAGGGAUUAAACACAAGCCCAUCUAAAUGGCAUUACUGCAUGCUACUGUCCCUGGAGAUAUCAAGAAUGAAGCCUUCAGAAGCUAUGCCAGAUUCUGAUCACAGGAAAGUGCCAACACCCACCACCAAAGAGGGGAAUGCCAUGGCAGUGAGGAGAGGGGAGCAGAAGACAGGUGGCCUCAACUGGGACACUAGCAAUUUUACCAGCAACCCAGACACUGACAUUUGGGGGUCUAUGGGCUUGUAAAAUAUAUUAAAGGCAAUAGAGAGAAACACCUGGUGCCAAGGAUAUCGAAGUUUCUUAAAAUACUGCAAGUAUAAUUUAAUAUAGUGCUGCACUUCUGAAUUCAUAGCAGAAACUCAAAGUCAGUUAGUAUUUUGCUUCUUGAGCUAAAAUAAAUGCUGGCCUUCAAGAGAACAAGCAAAACCCAGAUGUGUGGCUUUGCCUUUUAUGCCCCUGUGUUAUGGCUACACCCCAUAAGUGGUCGAUUCUGUUUCUCAUCAAACUUGGCAGAAAAUUACUUACACCCAAUAGAUGGGACUUAUGUGUUCAGUAAACCCCCAGAUGAAAAAGGCUUAUAAUUUAGUCACCCAUGAUGACAAAGGCUAAUAUACCAGAAUGUAUACUAGAAACAUUACCCUUAGCCUCAUGCAACACUAACACACAGCGGUUCAAGUGAGAGCUCCAAACUCAAGAGUUCAAAUGCUGGCUUUACAACUAGACCGUGAGAAAAUUACUCUUUAAACUUCAUUUGUAAAAUGGAGUUAACAGUAUCUAUCCAGAGUUAUAAAGAUUAAGUAAGAAGGUUCACAUGGAAUAAGGGCUAAAACUUACUCAGUGCCUAAUAAGUAAAAUGAUUCUACUAAUAAUGUAAAAUUCCAGGCAAAGAUAAGAAAACACAUUUUUGACUUCUUUAAGGGAGUGGUGGCAGCUCUUCUGGGGAUAAUUCAGGAACCCAAACCCAGGUGGUGGUCACAACUCCCACUUCAGUGCAGCAGACUAUGUGAACUGUUCCCCAUCUGAAGUACAUUUUACUUCAGACUAUUCCAAGAAUCCAGAGCUUUCUUCCUUCCUCACCCAAGGGAUGACCAAGUGAUAAUUACAUUUCAAAUGACGAGUUAGUGGCAAACAGGCUCACUAGUUUAUAUAGUCGUACAUAUUUCAGACUGUAGUACCAAUGUGGCUUUAAGGUUUCACACUAACCACAAUUUUGGUACACCUCAAAAUCAUCCUUAGUUUUAGUAUCUGCAACACAGGUUGUCUCACCCCAGGCCGCUCAGCCGUGCUCUCCUUUUACAGACCACCUGCUCGUUUCCCCACUUCCCAUAAUCUCACAGCUGUUUGGAAUAAGAGCCUUUUGCCACCGGUUGGGCCAAGUGCCUCUUCUUCUCUGACUCCUGUUUCCUUCAACCGCAGCUUUGUUUCCUGCACUUAAAAUUUCUAUAGAUAUUCUUCAAGUCCUUCAGAUGCAUUUCUCCCCAUUCUUUGUCAACUUUCUAACUGACCGUGUAUUGGUAUUCUUGAGAAAAGAUUAGAGCUCUAGAACCUUUCAAUGUUUCUUCCCACUAUUUACACUCUAUGUAAGCUACUAGGUAUGAGAUGAGAGCUUGAAGACACUCCUUUAUUUCACCUCAGAAACAUUUCUUGCCUCUUCCAAUUAUGGGGUGAGGCAGGGAAUUGCAGUUCUCAGUUGACGUGAGGCAACGCCACUGUCCAAUACGCAAGAUUUUUCUUAAAGAUUUUUCUUAAAGCUUACCGGCACCAUCCUCCAGGUGAUUCUGGUAGCAUAAGAAACAUCAGUCAUUACAGGUAGGCAAUAUUAGGUGACCAUUUACAUUAUAAAGGAACAAGAAAACAAGUUAGGAGAAUGAAGACUAAAAACUGACUUGACAGUUAACACCAACAUUACUAGUUUUACAAUUCACAGGACCCAAAGGCAAGAGGUAAGUUUCAAGGUCAGAGAGGUGGCAUCAGAACAUCCCCUCUCUCAGGUGCACUGUUCCGUCCUCCUGAGAGCAGUCUACUUACCUGCCCUGACGAAAACCUAUAUAAACCCAGGGGGUUAGAAUCAGACACUUUCCAAAAGCUCUUCUUAAGGCCUGUGAUAUUAGUAAAAUGGAGACCGAGUCUUCUCAAUAGUAUUAAGAAUUUAACAUACAAACAUCAACUUAACAGGUUAAAAAAAAACAUAAGCUGUUUCCCAUUGACCUUUGCCAGGUCCUUUCCAAUAAAUAUAUUCCAUUAAUUUAAAUGACAAAAAAAUUUAACAGAACAGGUAUACUGAAAAAGUUUAUUUAUUAGGAAUUACCUUCAUAGAAUGGUUCAUCACAAUUCUGAGAUGAUAUGAUUACAGCUUGGUUUGAAUUUUCAAUGCUGGAAGGCUUAUCCAACCCAUCAAUCAUUUCAGAUACAGAUAUCACAGAUUUGCAACACACGGAGGGGUCCAAUAGUUCGCAAAGUGUCACCUUAAACAUCUCAGAGAAAAACUGUGGAGCCAGUUUUCCCGUAGGAAGUCGCAGGAAAGCAUUUUUCAAGACUGCUUAUGAAGACCAGAAAGCCAAUUUUUUCUCUCCCCACUGGGGAGAAGAGGCUCACUGAAGUAUGACUUGCUUUGUGGAUAUUAGUUAGUGGCUUUAUCUCAAAGAAAUUAAAAGCUCAGGGACCCUUCCAAAGAAACGAACCCACACAUGCAGUCCUGUUUCUGUAAAAUUUCCAAAAUUAAUAUAUUUUACAUUUGUUUUCUUAAGGAGGGCCCCCAGAAUUACAAAGACUUCAACCCCAAACCUAGAGUGUCCCUGGUUCGGAUGAAAAGCUCCUAUCUAAUCCAUGACAUCAGGUCAAGUCACCACUGAAUCAACAAAUGGGCCCUGGUGGUGGUGGUUUCUGAACACACCUAAUUCAAGUAUAACAAGGACACCACAGGAAACACAGCUCUACAAGUACUUUUCUUACCUGGAUAAUCCUAAGUACUGACCUCAGCAUACUUCACAUAACAUUAAUAUCAAAAGCCUUAAAAGGAGCUUUUCAAAUGAUUCUGAAAUUUUAUGGUGCCUCUGGAUUUGCAGUUUUUUCUCUAAGAAAUCCCCUCACAAAGCCAGCAAAAAGGCAAAUGAGCUAUAAACCAGGGAAGUAAUUCUCGAACUUCCCACUCAAAUUUGCCAUGAGAGCUGGUUAAAGUGCAGAUUUCGGAGUCCCACCCCCAGAGUUAGGUCUAAGGUGGGGCCCAGGCCCAUCCUCCCAGGUCUCAGAAGGUUGUGCACGGGAUGAACACAGCGUGUUGGUGGCUGCAGUUGUAGUUCUACCACUGUGUGACGCAGAAAGAAGUAAUGUUCAUUUAGAGAAAACGUAAAAUAGGGUUAAGAAACAGGGAAAGUGAGAGAAUAACCGGAACUGUAAGUCUCAGAAACGCAGGUGGUAUCUAAUCCACAGCAUUUGCUAGGGUGUGUGUGGCUUGCUCCCGGACUCCUUCGCCGGGAAUCAAACUGCAGAAUCGAUCUGAGAGUCUCGGGAAUGCAAAGGCAUACAGGCUCUUCUCACUUAGAAGUCCCGUCUCAUUUUAAUCUUCAGGCAGAUGGGCGCAGCAUCAAACCUGGGAGUGGGGCCCCACGCCCUUCGCCCUCCCACCCGAAUCCACGCCUAGACUGCAGGAUGAGGUCUCCGCACACAAAUCCAGAACCCCGGGCAUAAGAAGAGUCGGGCGAGCACAGCCAAAGUUUGGAAUUAGACUACAUAUAGGUCGUGACAGCGAAAACCAGGAGACAGGGAGCCACUCAAUAGCUCUGAAAGUGUAAGGUAUUUCAUCAUUGGCAGUUCAGCAAACUCAAGAGGAUGAACAGGGGUGCUUCAUAGAACCAGUGUUUGGACGAUCUCUGUACACAGAAUGGAGGAAGGUAACAAGUACCUCCUCCAUAGCAGAUCACAGGGAAGCAAUUUUCCAGUGAGCGCCCUCUUGGUUAAGUAUGUUAGUAGGUGGUGAGCAGAUUGCUACAGGCUUCUGUCUUCCAGACAACAGUGGCAGGCUGGCCCCAACUCUGGAAACAAAGGGAUCUGGGAGGACCAAAGCCAGAGGAGAAGGCUGACUCCAGAGCACUGGCCUCCGCAGACACAGCACUGAGCUGCCACUGGGGUCAGAGGUUAGCAGCAGAACCAGGUCUCUGCCCAGGCAUCCCAAAGCCCAGGCUUGGGCUUGUCCUUGGACAGCUUCAGCCUUACCUUGAAGAAGACAGAGACCAGCCUUGGAAAUGCAGCUGAGGACCUCACGUUGGGCUUGCUGGUUUCAGCACAACUCUAGCUUCCUUUGGAAGGACCCCUCUGCGUCAGGCUGGGCCAGCACCAUACUGGGUUUUGCCCCUCUGCAUUGAGACUGUUUCUUCAUCUCCUCUACCAAACAGGGACCCAUGAUUCAGGGACUAUCACGCUCACAGAGGUAUCUCCAGAGCCUAGCACUGUGCUUGGCAUACAGCAGGUGAUCAAUAAAUACUUCCCAAAUAACUGAGUGCUUUGUAUCAGCAUCAGGAAUCCACUGGGCCCUGAGGGAGUCGGGAGAUGGGAAGAAGGCUUUAGAGCUCCUGCCACGCCUUACAUUAGC